GGGUUGUGAGGUUAAGCGAAUAAGCGUACACGGUGGAUGCCUAGGCAAUCAGAGGCGAUGAAGGACGUGCUAAUCUGCGAAAAGCGUCGGUAAGGUGAUAUGAACCGCUAUACCCGACGAUAUCCGAAUGGGGAAACCCAGUAUCCAAUGGAUACUAUCAUUAACUGAAUCCAUAGGUUAAUGAGGCGAACCGGGAGAACUGAAACAUCUCAGUACCCCGAGGAAAAGAAAUCAACCGAGAUUCCCCUAGUAGCGGCGAGCGAACGGGGAGCAGCCCAGAGUCUUAAUCAAUAGCAGUGUCAGGAGAACGGUCUGGAAAGUCCGGCAGUAAAGGGUGAUAGCCCCGUAUCUGAAGAUGCUGUUGUUGUGAACUCGACGAGUAGGGCGGGACACGUGUUAUCCUGUCUGAAUAUGGGGGGACCAUCCUCCAAGGCUAAAUACUCCUGAUUGACCGAUAGUGAACCAGUACCGUGAGGGAAAGGCGAAAAGAACCCCGGCGAGGGGAGUGAAAAAGAACCUGAAACCGUGUACGUACAAGCAGUAGGAGCCUCUUUAUGGGGUGACUGCGUACCUUUUGUAUAAUGGGUCAGCGACUUAUAUUCUGUAGCAAGGUUAACCGUAUAGGGGAGCCGUAGGGAAACCGAGUCUUAACUGGGCGAAUGAGUUGCAGGGUAUAGACCCGAAACCCGGUGAUCUAUCCAUGGGCAGGUUGAAGGUUGGGUAACACUAACUGGAGGACCGAACCGACUAAUGUUGAAAAAUUAGCGGAUGACUUGUGGAUGGGGGUGAAAGGCCAAUCAAACCGGGAGAUAGCUGGUUCUCCCCGAAAGCUAUUUAGGUAGCGCCUCGUGAAUUCAUCUUCGGGGGUAGAGCACUGUUUCGACUAGGGGGUCAUCCCGACUUACCAACUCGAUGCAAACUGCGAAUACCGAAGAAUGUUAUCACGGGAGACACACGGCGGGUGCUAACGUCCGUCGUGAAGAGGGAAACAACCCAGACCGCCAGCUAAGGUCCCAAAGUCAUGGUUAAGUGGGAAACGAAGUGGGAAGGCUCAGACAGCCAGGAUGUUGGCUUAGAAGCAGCCAUCAUUUAAAGAAAGCGUAAUAGCUCACUGGUCGAGUCGGCCCGCGCGGAAGAUGUAACGGGGCUAAACCAUGCACCGAAGCUGCGGCAGCGACACAUAGUGUUGUUGGGUAGGGGAGCGUUCUGUAAGCCUGCGAAGGUGUACUGUGAGGUAUGCUGGAGGUAUCAGAAGUGCGAAUGCUGACAUAAGUAACGAUAAUGCGGGUGAAAAACCCGCACGCCGGAAGACCAAGGGUUCCUGUCCAACGUUAAUCGGGGCAGGGUGAGUCGACCCCUAAGGCGAGGCUGAAAAGCGUAGUCGAUGGGAAACGGGUUAAUAUUCCCGUACUGGUGGUAACUGCGAUGGGGGAACGGAGAAGGCUAGGUUGUCCGGGCGACGGUCGUCCCGGUUCAAGCAGGUAGGCAGAGUGAUUAGGCAAAUCCGGUCACUUAAUGCUGAGAUGUGAUGACGAACCACCAAGGUGGUGAAGCAAUUGAUGCCCCGCUUCCAGGAAAAGCCUCUAAGCUUCAGGUUACCAACAAUCGUACCCCAAACCGACACAGGUGGUCAGGUAGAGAAUACUCAGGCGCUUGAGAGAACUCGGGUGAAGGAACUAGGCAAAAUGGUGCCGUAACUUCGGGAGAAGGCACGCUGGCGGUAGGUAAAGUCCCUCGCGGACGGCGCUGAAGCCAGUCGAAGAUACCAGCUGGCUGCAACUGUUUAUUAAAAACACAGCACUGUGCAAACACGAAAGUGGACGUAUACGGUGUGACGCCUGCCCGGUGCUGGAAGGUUAAUUGAUGGGGUUAGCGUAAGCGAAGCUCCUGAUCGAAGCCCCAGUAAACGGCGGCCGUAACUAUAACGGUCCUAAGGUAGCGAAAUUCCUUGUCGGGUAAGUUCCGACCUGCACGAAUGGCGUAAUGAUGGCCAGGCUGUCUCCACCCGAGACUCAGUGAAAUUGAACUCGCUGUGAAGAUGCAGUGUACCCGCGGCAAGACGGAAAGACCCCGUGAACCUUUACUAUAGCUUGACACUGAACAUUGAGCCUUGAUGUGUAGGAUAGGUGGGAGGCUUUGAAGUGUGGACGCCAGUCUGCAUGGAGCCAACCUUGAAAUACCACCCUUUAACGUUUGAUGUUCUAACCUAGGCCCAUAAACUGGGUCGGGGACCGUGUCUGGUGGGUAGUUUGACUGGGGCGGUCUCCUCCUAAAGAGUAACGGAGGAGCACGAAGGUUGGCUAAGCAUGGUCGGACAUCAUGCGGUUAGUGCAAAGGCAUAAGCCAGCUUGACUGCGAGAGUGACGGCUCGAGCAGGUACGAAAGUAGGUCUUAGUGAUCCGGUGGUUCUGAAUGGAAGGGCCAUCGCUCAACGGAUAAAAGGUACUCCGGGGAUAACAGGCUGAUACCGCCCAAGAGUUCAUAUCGACGGCGGUGUUUGGCACCUCGAUGUCGGCUCAUCACAUCCUGGGGCUGAAGUAGGUCCCAAGGGUAUGGCUGUUCGCCAUUUAAAGUGGUACGCGAGCUGGGUUUAGAACGUCGUGAGACAGUUCGGUCCCUAUCUGCCGUGGGCGUUGGAAGAUUGAGAGGGGUUGCUCCUAGUACGAGAGGACCGGAGUGAACGCACCACUGGUGUUCGGGUUGUCAUGCCAAUGGCAUUGCCCGGUAGCUAAGUGCGGAAGAGAUAACCGCUGAAAGCAUCUAAGCGGGAAACUUGCCUCGAGAUGAGUCUUCCCUGUCGCUUUAAGCGACCUAAAGGAACGUUUAAGACUAAGACGUUGAUAGGCUGGGUGUGUAAGCGUAGCGAUACGUUGAGCUAACCAGUACUAAUGAACCGUGAGGCUUAACCUGACAACACCGAAGGUGUUU
RNAcentral lists this ribosomal RNA (2928 nucleotides) under Proteus mirabilis. RNAcentral describes it as "23S ribosomal RNA". It matches the Rfam family "Bacterial large subunit ribosomal RNA". The record is from RNAcentral. Lineage: Bacteria; Pseudomonadati; Pseudomonadota; Gammaproteobacteria; Enterobacterales; Morganellaceae.